RNAcentral lists this ribosomal RNA (543 nucleotides) under Triticum aestivum (bread wheat). RNAcentral's name for it is "partial small subunit ribosomal RNA". The record is from RNAcentral. Lineage: Eukaryota; Viridiplantae; Streptophyta; Magnoliopsida; Poales; Poaceae.
AUGAGCGAUGAGCUACCGGAGUUGCUAUACUUCAUUGCAAGUAGUCAAAAGGAAGAUGCUGAAAAAAUUGAUCUCAAUAAGCAUGCUUUUCAAGCUAGCCGAAUGAAGGAAGAAACCAGCAAGGCCGCUCCUCAUUUAACUGGAAUUAACCAAUUCAAGUGCAAGAAGGAUUGGUCGAUGCUCUCGGCUGGCGUCAAGUUCGAUCCCAUGGAUCAGGAGCUGAUCGAGCACCUUGAGGCCAAAAGCAACUCCAGGACGUUCAAAAGGGGCACGCGGAUGCGUCACAAGAUACAGUCGGGUUACGGCAUGCAUGCAAUGUGGCACAAGACCGGGAAUACCUUGCUGGUGAUGGUCAACGGCCGGCAGACGGGCAGCAAAAAGUUCUCCAACAAAAUUACAUCUUCGAGUACGCACGGGAUCCUUCUGGUUUCACAGGCUGAUAGUUGGACGCAUCACGUCGGGACUGGGCUAUGGCACGCCAAGCCCAGUUGCAAAUUGUUAAAAGAGAGGAGCGAUGGAUUUGGGCCUUUCCAGAACAGUUAA